Molecule: ribosomal RNA, 448 nt
Filed under: uncultured bacterium
Lineage: Bacteria
Description: bacterial SSU rRNA
Rfam family: Bacterial small subunit ribosomal RNA
Source: RNAcentral
CCCAGACUCCUACGGGAGGCAGCAGUGGGGAAUAUUGGGCAAUGGGCGCAAGCCUGACCCAGCAACGCCGCGUGAAGGAAGAAGGCUUUCGGGUUGUAAACUUCUUUUCUCAGGGACGAAGCAAGUGACGGUACCUGAGGAAUAAGCCACGGCUAACUACGUGCCAGCAGCCGCGGUAAUACGUAGGUGGCAAGCGUUAUCCGGAUUUACUGGGUGUAAAGGGCGUAUAGGCGGGAAAGCAAGUCAGAUGUGAAAACCAGGGGCUCAACCUGUGGCCUGCAUUUGAAACUGUUUUUCUUGAGUACUGGAGAGGCAGGCGGAAUUCCUAGUGUAGCGGUGAAAUGCGUAGAUAUACGGAGGAACACCAGUGGCGAAGGCGGAUUGCUGGACAGUAACUGACGCUGGGGCGCGAAAGCGUGGGGAGCAAACAGGAUUAGAUACCCGAGUA